CCUUGUUGCUUUCCGUAGCUCGACUAUGACGUCUCCUGAAGAUGGCGGCCCUCGGUAGCAGCGGGGUGACUCCGGGCCGCUUGGCGCGACGCCUUCUCAGACAUACUCAGGGUACACUAUGCCCGGGGAGCGGGGGUCGACCGGCAGAGUUCCUGAACCAGGCGUUCGGACAGAGAUGUCGUCUCCACUCGGCAGUGGCGUGCUCGAGUCCCACUGCCAGGGUCCUCCUUGGCAGACGUACCAACGGAAGGUUUCUAUUGGUCAAUGCUGUGGCGGUGAGGCACAACAGCACACAGUUUCCCCGUGAAACGUAUUCCAUGGACGACAUUCCCGCGAAGGAAGCUCCGUACGCGACAGCAGAGCUGGCGACCGCGCCGGUGCUGUCCGACCCCACCCCGGUCCUCACAGAGUCCCUCCCCCAACAGAUCUCGGUCUCGCCGGUAACCACGGCCAUCCCCGCGGCCCCGCCCUCUCUGGAGGCCACGCCCACUCUGGACGCCUCUCCAAUCGGAGCGCUGGCCGACCCGACCCUCCUGCUCCCCCCGCCGCUGGGCGAGCAGCUGCUGGGGGAGGCCCUGCCCACGGCGGCGGAGGUCCUCCAGCUGGCGGAGCCCACCCUGGUGGAGCUGGGCCUGGCCGGACACACCCCGGUGGGCUUCAUCCAGAGCCUGCUGGAGUUCAUGCACAUGGACCUGGGCAUGCCCUGGUGGGGCGCCAUCGUCGCAGGCACGGUGCUGGCCCGUCUGGCCGUGUUCCCGGUCAUCGUGAAGGGGCAGCGGGAGGCGGCCAAGCUGAACAACGUGAUGCCGGAGAUGACCAAGCUGACCAGCCGCAUGACGGAGGCCAAGCAGGGCGGCAACAAGUUUGAGUUCUCCAAGGCCUACACGGACCUGACUCUGUUCCAGAAGAAGCACGACGUGAACCCUCUGAGGGGCUUCCUGGUGCCGCUGGUCCAGGCCCCCGUCUUCAUCUCCUUCUUCAUCGCGCUGAGGAAGAUGGCCUACCUGCCGGUGCCCAGCCUGCAGACGGGAGGCGCCCUGUGGUUCCCCGACCUCACCAUGGCCGACCCCUUCUACCUGCUGCCCAUCGCCGUCACCGGCACCAUGUUCUUCAUCCUGGAGCUGGGUGCCGAGUCGGGCAUCGAUAACCCCAACAUGAAGGCCAUGAAGACGGUGUUCCGGAUCAUGCCCUUCGUCAUCCUGCCCCUCACCAUCAACUUCCCCACGGCGGUCUUCACCUACUGGCUGACCUCCAACAGCUUCUCGCUGUGCCAGGUGGCCCUGCUCCGCCACCCCUGGGUGCGGGAGAAGCUCUCCAUCCCCCAGAAGAUCGUCCACCCCGCCUCCGCCCUGCCCGCCAACGACGGCUUCGUGGAGAGCCUGAAGAAGGGUGAGGCUGGAAGAACGCCCAGCUAGGGCAGCAGCUGGAGGAGAGAGAGAGGAGGAUCAAGAAUCACCUGGAGCUGGCCGCCAAAGGUCCAUUGAGGCAGACUUUUACCCAUAAUCCUCUCCAGCAGGAAGCAGCGCCAGCCAAUAACAAGCCUGUGUCCCAGACAGGCAGGGACAAGGCCCGCCCAUGGAAGGAGACCAUUGGCUAGAUGGGAAUGAUUGGCGGCUGGAGCCCAGCGAAUCGUGUGUAAAUAUGGACGCAAUAAUGGGAGCGGAGUGAAGAGUUGUCUGUGUGUUAUUAUCCAGAGUAAAGUCGUACAAUAUUUA
RNA transcript from Gadus macrocephalus (Pacific cod), 1715 nucleotides. It is a transcript of the gene named OXA1L mitochondrial inner membrane protein, with no coding region annotated. The transcript is spliced from 11 exons. The record is from RefSeq and is a predicted model, not a curated record. Lineage: Eukaryota; Metazoa; Chordata; Actinopteri; Gadiformes; Gadidae.